Molecule: small nuclear RNA, 100 nt
Organism: Erinaceus europaeus (western European hedgehog)
Lineage: Eukaryota; Metazoa; Chordata; Mammalia; Eulipotyphla; Erinaceidae
Source: Ensembl
AUUUCCUUUGGCAGCAUAUAGUCAAGCUGGAACAAUAUGAAGAUUAGCAUGGUUCUUGUGCUAGGGUAAUAUGCAAAUUCAUGACACAUUCCACAUUUAA